RNAcentral lists this ribosomal RNA (465 nucleotides) under uncultured bacterium. RNAcentral's name for it is "partial 16S ribosomal RNA". It matches the Rfam family "Bacterial small subunit ribosomal RNA", at positions 28 to 507 of the family's 1533-position model. The record is from RNAcentral.
GACGAACGCUGGCGGCGUGCUUAACACAUGCAAGUCGUACGGUAAGGCCCUUUCGGGGGUACACGAGUGGCGAACGGGUGAGUAACACGUGAGUAACCUGCCCACAACUUUGGGAUAACGCUAGGAAACUGGUGCUAAUACUGGAUAUGUGCUCCUGCUGCAUGGUGGGGGUUGGAAAGCUCCGGCGGUUGUGGAUGGACUCGCGGCCUAUCAGCUUGUUGGUGGGGUAGUGGCCUACCAAGGCGGCGACGGGUAGCCGGCCUGAGAGGGUGACCGGCCACAUUGGGACUGAGAUACGGCCCCGACUCCUACGGGAGGCAGCGGUGGGGAAUAUUGCACAAUGGGCGCAAGCCUGAUGCAGCAACGCCGCGUGCGGGAUGACGGCCUUCGGGUUGUAAACCGCUUUCAGCAGGGACGAAGCUUUUUGUGACGGUACCUGCAGAAGAAGCACCGGCUAACUACGUG